This 484-nucleotide ribosomal RNA is filed under the name uncultured bacterium. Its description in RNAcentral is "bacterial SSU rRNA". It matches the Rfam family "Bacterial small subunit ribosomal RNA", at positions 9 to 493 of the family's 1533-position model. The record is from RNAcentral.
GAGUUUGAUCCUGGCUCAGGAUGAACGCUGGCGGCGUGCCUAACACAUGCAAGUCGAGCGAAGCACUUUAAUUUGAUUCUUCGGAUGAGGAUUUUUGUGACUGAGCGGCGGACGGGUGAGUAACGCGUGGGCAACCUGCCUUACACAGGGGGAUAACAGUUAGAAAUGACUGCUAAUACCGCAUAAGACCACAGUACUGCAUGGUGCAGUGGUAAAAACUCCGGUGGUGUAAGAUGGGCCCGCGUCUGAUUAGGUAGUUGGCGGGGUAACGGCCCACCAAGCCGACGAUCAGUAGCCGACCUGAGAGGGUGACCGGCCACAUUGGGACUGAGACACGGCCCAGACUCCUACGGGAGGCAGCAGUGGGGAAUAUUGCACAAUGGGGGAAACCCUGAUGCAGCGACGCCGCGUGAGCGAUGAAGUAUUUCGGUAUGUAAAGCUCUAUCAGCAGGGAAGAAAAUGACGGUACCUGACUAAGAAGCCC